GCUGUCGCCCUUGGCACUGAAAGAAUUCACAGAUGCUGCCCCUUUAAAACUCGUGGGUUCUCAAGUGCCAAAGAUGACGGUGCG
Molecule: microRNA precursor, 84 nt
Filed under: Ixodes scapularis (black-legged tick)
Lineage: Eukaryota; Metazoa; Arthropoda; Arachnida; Ixodida; Ixodidae
Description: miRNA
Source: RNAcentral